Molecule: ribosomal RNA, 253 nt
Filed under: uncultured bacterium
Lineage: Bacteria
Description: partial 16S ribosomal RNA
Rfam family: Bacterial small subunit ribosomal RNA
Source: RNAcentral
UACGUAGGGUGCAAGCGUUGUCCGGAAUUAUUGGGCGCAAAGAGCUUGUAGGCGGUCUGUCGCGUCUGCUGUGAAAAUCCGGGGCUCAACCCCGGACUUGCAGUGGGUACGGGCAGACUAGAGUGUGGUAGGGGAGACUGGAAUUCCUGGUGUAGCGGUGAAAUGCGCAGAUAUCAGGAGGAACACCGAUGGCGAAGGCAGGUCUCUGGGCCACUACUGACGCUGAGAAGCGAAAGCAUGGGGAGCGAACAGG